This is a long non-coding RNA of Lytechinus variegatus (green sea urchin), 989 nucleotides long. RefSeq lists it as uncharacterized. The transcript is spliced from 5 exons. NCBI's taxonomy places the organism in Eukaryota, Metazoa, Echinodermata, Echinoidea, Temnopleuroida, Toxopneustidae. The record is from RefSeq and is a predicted model, not a curated record.
CCGUUGUGAUAAUUACAGCUCGACAUCUUACAUCAAACAAAGCAAGUGGGACUACUAAGCUCGUGUUGACAUGCAAAGCGGACGCCAAUCCUCCUGUCAAUACCUUCGUUUGGCUAUGCAACCAAACUGUAGUGUCUAACGACACCAACUACAGACUCACCGAGACUAUAUAUGAAGAUACAACACUAACCUCGAGCGUACUUGCGAUUCAAAACCCACUCUCCAAAUAUCAUUGUGUUUAUAAAUGCACCGCUCUAUCAGAAUACGACUCAAGAAGUGCAGAAUUCAAUUCACUUUAUUUGUAUUUUAUCCCGAAUCCACCAUCUGAUUUCAUCAUUCACCGAAAUCAGACGAGAUCUUCAUCUCUUUUCGUUGCCUGGCAACCAGGAUCAACAUUAGGAAUCUACUGUCGAUCUGAAGAGACAGAACGUUGUCACAUUGCCUAUGAUCACUGAAUGAUGACGUCUAUUUCAAUGCAUUUAAUUCUCGGUCUUUGCCUUGAAAUUAUCAUUUCACAAAGCUCUCCACCCACUUGGCUCUAUAUCAUUGAUGGAGAGGGCAUCAUUUACUACUCAAACAACAUCUCCCUAACCGUAAUAGCUGACCAACAACAAGACAUCACAUGUGAAGCAUAUGGAGCAAGGCCAACUGCAGUAUUGGAAUGGCGUUUACCUGAUGAUAUAACAGUUGUUCAUCACGAUCAGUCUGAUGAUAUUCAAGACAGCUUUUACAUCUCUCAGAAAGCCGUGACAAUCACUCCCUCAAGGGAUGACCACGGAAAGAUUAUUCGCUGCAUCGCAUCACAUCAAGAACUAUCAAAAAACCUUCAAUGCACAGUAAAUAUGAAUGUACAUGUUCUUCCUAUGAGUGUGUUCCUCUUUCCAACUGGAGGUAUCCAGUCCCGGACAAGACUCAUUUACGUUCAAGAAGAUUCACCGACUUCAAUCACAUGUAGAAGUAUUGGGUCAUUCCCAGCCACUGAACUAUCC